GUCGGUUCGGCCGGAUUUUACACAAGUGUUGCAUGGCUGUCGUCAGCUCGUGUCGUGAGAUGUUGGGUUAAGUCCCGCAACGAGCGCAACCCUCAUCCUUAGUUGCCAUCAGGUAAUGCUGAGUACUUUAAGGAAACUGCCAGUGAUAAGCUGGAGGAAGGUGGGGAUGAUGUCAAGUCAUCAUGGCCUUUAUGGAGUGGGCUACACACGUGCUACAAUGGUGUCUACAAUGGGCUGCAAGGUGCGCAAGCCUAAGCUAAUCCCUAAAAGACAUCUCAGUUCGGAUUGUACUCUGCAACUCGAGUACAUGAAGUUGGAAUCGCUAGUAAUCGUGGAUCAGCAUGCCACGGUGAAUACGUUCUCGGGUCUUGUACACACUGCCCGUCACGC
This 390-nucleotide ribosomal RNA is filed under the name Wolbachia pipientis. RNAcentral's name for it is "bacterial SSU rRNA". It matches the Rfam family "Bacterial small subunit ribosomal RNA", at positions 1014 to 1402 of the family's 1533-position model. The record is from RNAcentral. Lineage: Bacteria; Pseudomonadati; Pseudomonadota; Alphaproteobacteria; Rickettsiales; Anaplasmataceae.